GAUGCCUACGGGACGCAGCAGUGAGGAAUAUUGGUCAAUGGGCGCGCGCCUGCACCCGCCCCGUCUCUUUCCUUCUUCCUUCCCUCCGGGUUGUAAACUUCUUCUAUCACGUAAUAAAGUGAGGCACGUUUGCCUUUUUGUAUGUACUUUAUGAAUAAGGAUCGGCUAACUCCGUGCCAGCAGCCGCGGUAAUACGGAGGAUCCGGUCGUUAUCCGGAUUUAUUGGGUUUAAAGGGAGCGUAGAUGGGUUGUUAAGUCAGUUGUGAAAGUUUGCGGCUCAACCGUAAAAUUGCAAUUGAUACUGG
This 305-nucleotide ribosomal RNA is filed under the name uncultured bacterium. Its description in RNAcentral is "bacterial SSU rRNA". It matches the Rfam family "Bacterial small subunit ribosomal RNA", at positions 334 to 636 of the family's 1533-position model. The record is from RNAcentral.